GAUCAUGGCUCAGGAUGAACGCUAGCUACAGGCUUAACACAUGCAAGUCGAGGGGCAGCGGGAUUGAAGCUUGCUUCAAUUGCCGGCGACCGGCGCACGGGUGAGUAACGCGUAUCCAACCUUCCGUACACUCAGGGAUAGCCUUUCGAAAGAAAGAUUAAUACCUGAUGGUGUGAUGAGAUUGCAUGAUAGCAUCAUUAAAGAUUUAUUGGUGUACGAUGGGG
Molecule: ribosomal RNA, 224 nt
Filed under: uncultured bacterium
Lineage: Bacteria
Description: partial 16S ribosomal RNA
Rfam family: Bacterial small subunit ribosomal RNA
Source: RNAcentral